UCCCCGCCUCAGGCGAGGGGGGCGCCGGACCGGGAGGAGGGGAGGAGGCGAUGCUGGAAGCCAUGGUGGAGACCAGUCCCGAAGAUCCACCUCCGACCCUGAAGCCAGAAACUCAGCCACCAGAGAAGCGUCGGAGAACAAUUGAGGAUUUCAACAAAUUCUGCAGUUUUGUCUUGGCCUAUGCUGGUUACGUCCCCCCUAGCAAGGAGGAAAGUGACUGGCAAGCCUCUGGCUCCAGUUCUUCAUUGCGUGUCGAGAGCGCGGCCGCCAGUGACGGCUGGGACUCGGCCCCCUCAGACCUCCGAACCAUCCAGACCUUUUUUUUGUUUUUUUUUUUUUUUUUCAUCCAGACCUUUGUUAAGAAAGCAAAAUCAUCCAAGAGAAGGGCGGCUCAAGCAGGUCCCACUCAGCCAGGACCCCCGAGGUCCACUUUUUCUCGUCUGCACACCCCUGACAGUGCAACCCUGCUUGAGAAGAUGAAGCUCAAGGACUCUCUCUUUGAUCUAGAUGGGCCCAAAAUGGCAUCUCCACUGUCCCCCACAUCCCUGACCCAUGCCUCCCGGCCCCCUGCUGCUCUCACCCCAGUACCCCUUUCCCAGGGGGACCUCUCCCAACCUCCUUGAAAGAAGGACUGAAAGAACCGAAAGUUGGGGCCAGGAGGGGGGCUGGUUUUGGGGUGCUUCGGAGGUCUCUGCCAGCUCCUGGGAAUGGGGAAAAGAGGUCUUGAAUUAAAAAGAGCAAGAAAUGGAAGUUGAAAAGGCAGAUCGGGGGGAUAGACUCCCACCUCCUGGGCCUCCCCGGGGACCCCCCAGUGAUACAGACUCUGAAGAGGAGGAGGAAGACAUGGCAGCCAUGGUAGGGGGUGAAGCCCCAGCCCCUGUGCUGCCAACACCCCCUGAGGCUCCUAGGCCCCCUGCCGCAGUGCACCCUGAAGGAGCCCCUCCCACUGACAGCGAGAGCAAGGAAGUGGGCAGCACUGAAACGAGCCGAGAUGGAGAUGCCAGCUCGAGUGAAGGCGAGAUGCAGGUCAUGGAUGAGGACCUCAUGGUAGAAUCAGGUGAUGACUCAGGGGACCUGAUCACAUGUUACUGCCGAAAGCCCUUUGCAGGGCGGCCCAUGAUUGAGUGCAGCCUGUGUGGGACCUGGAUCUACCUCUCCUGUGCUAAGAUCAAGAAGACCAAUGUCCCUGACUUCUUUUACUGCCAGAAAUGCAAGGAACUGCGGCCGGAGGCCCAGCGGUUAGGGGGGCCUCCCAAAUCUGGAGAGCCCUGACACCGCCGUCUCCAGGCUGGGACUUCCAAAUGACAACGUGACUUGGGAACUGAGCCUCAGGGUCCUCAGCCUAUCCCCUGGAGCUUGGAUUAUUGUCCCACUUCAAGGCAGGAAUUCCCAAGGGAGGCUGGUUUGGGAAUGAAUGGCUCACGUUCCAACCUUCACCUUUCCUUCCCACCUUGUGGACUUGAACAUGGACCCAUUACAGUUGGGGGUGGGAGGCUGUCUGGGUCCCUAGACACUUAAUCUCUGUCCCUUAGACCUGCCGCCCCCCUCACUUUCUGGGCCAGGGUCGGAGCUGGGGUGGAAUGGGACAGUUGUCUAUAAAACUCUAGUGUAAAUAGA
Molecule: non-coding RNA, 1617 nt
Organism: Callorhinus ursinus (northern fur seal)
Lineage: Eukaryota; Metazoa; Chordata; Mammalia; Carnivora; Otariidae
Source: RefSeq, a predicted model, not a curated record